This 407-nucleotide ribosomal RNA is filed under the name uncultured bacterium. RNAcentral's name for it is "bacterial SSU rRNA". It matches the Rfam family "Bacterial small subunit ribosomal RNA", at positions 28 to 439 of the family's 1533-position model. The record is from RNAcentral.
GAUAAACGCUGGCGGCGUGCCUAACACAUGCAAGUCGAACGUCCUCUCUCGCAAGAGAGAGGGAGUGGCGGACGGGUGAGUAACACAUGGGUCACCUACCCUUAAGUGAGGAAUACCGGCGAGAAAUCGCCGACAAGACCGCAUAGGCUCUCUCUUUUGCAAGAGAGAGCAAAGCUUCGCAAGAGGCGCUUGAGGAUGGGCCUGUGGCCGAUUAGCUGGUUGGAGGGUAAUGGCUUACCAAGGCGACGAUCGGUAGCUGGUCUGAGAGGACGAUCAGCCACACUGGGAUUGAGAACGGCCCAGACUCCUACGGGGGCAGCAGUGAGGAAUUUUCCGCAAUGGGGGCAACCCUGACGGAGCAACGCCGCGUGCAGGAAGACGCUUUUCGGAGUGUAAACUGCUUUUCU